This 465-nucleotide ribosomal RNA is filed under the name uncultured bacterium. RNAcentral describes it as "partial 16S ribosomal RNA". It matches the Rfam family "Bacterial small subunit ribosomal RNA", at positions 28 to 507 of the family's 1533-position model. The record is from RNAcentral.
GACGAACGCUGGCGGCGUGCUUAACACAUGCAAGUCGAACGGAAAGGCCCUGCUUGCAGGGUACUCGAGUGGCGAACGGGUGAGUAACACGUGGGUGAUCUGCCCUGCACUUCGGGAUAAGCCUGGGAAACUGGGUCUCAUACCGGAUAGGAGCCAUUUUUAGUGUGAUGGUUGGAAAGUUUUUUCGGUGUAGGAUGAGCUCGCGGCCUAUCAGCUUGUUGGUGGGGUAAUGGCCUACCAAGGCGGCGACGGGUAGCCGGCCUGAGAGGGUGGACGGCCACAUUGGGACUGAGAUACGGCCCAGACUCCUACGGGAGGCAGCAGUGGGGAAUAUUGCACAAUGGGCGCGAGCCUGAUGCAGCGACGCCGCGUGGGGGAUGACGGCCUUCGGGUUGUAAACUCCUUUCGCUAGGGACGAAGCUUUUUGUGACGGUACCUAGAGAAGAAGCACCGGCUAACUACGUG